This 237-nucleotide unclassified non-coding RNA is filed under the name Basidiomycota sp. RNAcentral describes it as "partial contains small subunit ribosomal RNA, internal transcribed spacer 1, and 5.8S ribosomal RNA". The stretch from base 1 to 47 matches the Rfam family "Eukaryotic small subunit ribosomal RNA", at positions 1785 to 1831 of the family's 1831-position model. The record is from RNAcentral. Lineage: Eukaryota; Fungi; Basidiomycota.
AAAGUCGUAACAAGGUUUCCGUAGGUGAACCUGCGGAAGGAUCAUUAACAAAUUUUCCCAACCAAACACGUUUGUGAACUGUUAUCAAGUCCAUGGUGUGCCCCGUCCUGGACGGCAUUGUCUACAAUGCAGGCGUGCAUCCAGGCGGACCAUCAUGUUUAUUUACGUUUGACUUACAAAGAACUGAGACUUUAUUUAAAAUAAAGACAACUUUUAGCAACGGAUCUCUAGGCUCUC